Molecule: long non-coding RNA, 7181 nt
Filed under: Zea mays
Lineage: Eukaryota; Viridiplantae; Streptophyta; Magnoliopsida; Poales; Poaceae
Description: long non-coding RNA (ZMAY_LNC001274)
Source: RNAcentral
GCAAGUUAAACUCAAGCAUGCGCAUCUUGACUAUGUUAAUGACCAAAAUGUCAAAAAAAAUCUUACAAGAUGAUAUACAGUGCUAAACUAACUUGAGUGAAACAGAUGGGUUCCUCUUCCUUGUGAGGAUUUUGCAAAAGACAUAAACAUAAAUGAUUGAGAACAAGUAUCACAUACCGUAACUAUUGAUGUGUAGUUAAAAAGCAUCAACUCUUUUGUUAGUCAGCCAGAAGUCCACAAAAGGCCCCACUAUUGACAAUGAUGCUGCCUGCGCUGGAGCAGUAUGGCCUAAGAGAUUGAAUGAGCCAAGCGAGUACUUCCAUUGAAGGUAGAAAAGAAGAGCAAAUCAAAUAAAACAUAGUGAUAAUAUGACCCAUUAGGCUAUCGUGAAAGGUGUAGGAGGGGUGGGACUGUGGGAGGUCACAUGGACAACACUAGUUAAAUAAAGAUUAACAAGAUCCAGAAGGCUUUGAACUGCGGUGAUCAAAGCAGCAACAGAGUGCUGGAUUCUUUUGCUUACUGUAUUUCGGAAAGGAAAAAAAUGGUUGGGUGGCCAACAGCAUUUUCAGAACGUCAGAUUAGUCGCCAUAAAUCAGCGAUUAAUCGACUGAUCGCAACUUCGGAGCCGAUCAGGGCGAUCAGGUUUCUGAUCGUCCGAUUAGCGCAGGGACAAUCAGACGGCUGUGUGCUUUGAAAUUUUGGCCCACUUCAAUUGUUUUUCGUUAACGAAUUCGGCCCAGCAGCCCAGCCCAGGCUUCCUUUUUCCUCCCACGUGAACACAACCAAGUAGCCAACCAGGCUGGAGCACACGCGAGACACGACACGAACUGGCUGUCGAGGAACCUAGCGGAGCACUAUGCAGGCAACGCCGGCGCGCUACCGGCGACGGCGGAAUAUGACGCAUCGUCCCCCUCGGCCCCUCCUCCAUCCUAAUGUGCCUAAUUUCCUGUCCGAGUCCAGCAGUGACGGAAGACACGCUAAAAAUAAGGUGUUGCUAAGGUAAUGAUGAAAAAAAAAUCACAACACAAUAACACAUAAAAAGUAAUUUAUAGCUACAAAAUAAACAAUGAAUAUAGAAAAAUAUACAGAGUAAGAGUCAUCGUGACCAUAAUUCAUUUAUAGACAAAUAUUAUAUAGCAAAUAAAAUCUGAAAAAGGAAAAUGAAUAAAUAAUGAUAAAUUGAAGUAAAAUUUUUUAAAGAGAAACUAGCAUAAACGUGGUACUAUCUAUCUUUAUAGAACGUACUUAUAUAGAGGAGUAAUCAUCAAGUGGAAUAGUAUUUUAAUAAACCCACUAUACCUGCUACAAUGUCGGUUAUCUUUCUUCGCAUGGACCUUGCCAUUCAUCUUGCAGUCUUCAUAUCCUUAGCAACUAAAUUAAGAAUCCUAAAUAAACGAACCUAUAUGAGGAGGUUGUGGAUCUGCUGCACGGCUGUGUCAACGAUGGGGCAGAGCGUCGUGCGUGCGAGCUUAUCCUAGGGGCGCUGGACCGUCUAUGCGGGUGCGAGCAUCGCCGAGCGUCCAUGCGCCUUGCGUUGGUGGACGGCAGAGACGCGUAGCGCUGGGCAAACUGCAGAUGAGUAGAUGGCGGACAGCGCGCAGAGCUAGGCAUUUCGGCGGGGACGCGCAAGCUAGGCGGACGAGCACGGACGAGCAGAGAGACAGUCCGGCGGCUAGGAAUGUUAGGGUUACAAUUUCGACAUUUUCUUUCACUAUUGGUGCUUUCUUGGGCUGGGCCAAGGUAUUGCUCAAGCAAUACCGGGUCAUAUUGGGCCCUCCGCCUCUGGAGUCCAGCCCGCUUAUUCGUGCCGGGUCGGUCCGGGCCCGUAUAGAACCGGGCCGUGGCGGGCUCGGACCGGGCCCAAACAGCGGCUUCGUGCCGGACUCGCAUGCCUCGUGCUUAUUAGCCAUCUAUACUAAAGAGUAAAGCUCGAGAUGUAAACUCCCAUGUACCGAAUGUUAUUGGAAGCGAGAAGGAGGCUGACGUCAGCUAGAUUUAGGGUACCGAACCCUUUACCAUACAUUGUUGGAGACAGUUAGACAGCCUCAGACUUCGUGACUUUCUUCUUCCCUCCACCGCUUUAACGGCUCAAACGUUAAGUUAAACAUGUAAAUGCUUGUUGAAUGACUUCACCACACAAGGCCACAGGGAUGAUCUUUAAGAGCCUUGAUCAACUAGCCUCUCCAUGGCGCUCAGCAAGUCACUAGUGAAUAAGGCUGCCCAGUAGGCCAGCACCAUCCGCACGGGUACAAGUGCUCCGUGUGUGGCAAGGUGUACGCGUCCUACCAGACGCUGGGCGGGCACAAGACGAGCCACCGGAAGCUGCCGCUGCCGCCGGCGGCCACGCCAAGAGACGAGGCGUUGUCCGGCGGCACCGCGCAUGCAAAGGAGGAGAAGCUGCACCAGUGCUCGCUCUGUCACCGCACGUUCCCGUCGGGGCAAGCGCUGGGCGGGCACAAGACGAGCCACUGGAAGCCGCCACCGGCCGCGCCAAAAGACGAGGCCGAGGCGUCGUCCGGCGGUACCGCGCACGCGAAGGAGGAGAAGCUGCACCAGUGCUCGCUCUGCCACCGCACGUUCCCAUCGGGACAGGCACUGGGCGGGCACAAGCGGUUGCACUACGAGAAGGACAAGGACAAGGACGCCGCCAAGGACCAAAGAGGCCAUCGUGGCUGCGGUGGCGACAGCCGUGGUGCGGGAUUUCGACCUCAACGGCUCAACCUGCCGGCCGAGGCCGAGGGCGCGCCGCCGGAUGCCAAGCGGGCAUGCACGGACGAUUCUGCGGCGAUGAUAGCCGUGCUGCGGAACUUCGACUGGCCGAGUGUGCGACGCCGGAUGCCAAGCAGCAGGCAUGCACGGGCGAUGCUACGAGUUGUUUGGUAGGUUAGUUUAGGUGGUUAUUAGAUUGGUUCGUUGAUUGAUCGUCGCGCUGCACUUGCUAUAUCGAUCUGCUAAGCAUAAGCACAGCUGCUUUUCGGUCAGUUUGUUCAGAGACGCCAGACGGAUGGGAUCUAUACUGCCCGUGCAUAAAACUAUACUCCUAGUCGUUUCCAAUUUGAGUCAUGAUGAUGAUUAAUCGAUUAUUUCCAAUUGGCCAUAUCCCUCAACGAUCAGAUGCUAAACUUUUAUAAAUUGCAACGGUUUCAGGUCCGGCCUCCGCCUCCCACGGUACCGGCCUCCGCAGCAGCCGCGUGAAUCUCUACAUAUUCCAACCUGCCGAGUGCUCAUCUCUCGAGUCUCGAACAAUCAGCGCCUCUCCAUGGCACUCAUCAAGCCACCGGCAGCGACCGAUGACGACCAGGCCGAGCGGGAAUACAUGGCGUCAUGUCUUAUCAUGCUCUCGCGCGGUCUCCGCGACGAUAACGCGGCCGAUGCCACGAGGGCGACGGGCGCCGCCCCUACGUCUGCAAAUAUGGCCAACGAGUACAAGUGCUCGGUGUGCCAAAAGGUGUUCACAUCCUACCAGGCGCUGGGCGGGCACAAAACGAGACACCGGAAGCCGCCGGCAGCGGCAGCGCCAAGUGACGAGGCGUCGACCGGCGGCACCGCGCACGAGAAGCUGCACCAGUGCUCGCUCUGCCCCCGUACGUUCUCGUCGGGGCAGGCGCUUGGCGGGCACAUGACGAGGCACCGGAAGCCGCCGCCGCCGGUCGUUGUGCUGGACUUCGACCUCAACAUGUUGCCGGCCGAGGCCGAGGCCGAGGCCACCGAGCCCGUGGCCGCGCCGCCGGAUGUCAAGCGGGCAUGCACGGACGACGAUGCUGCUGGUGACUGAUCCUCCGGUCGUUCCAACUGCGGCGGGGAGGUGCCUGACCAGGCGGUCUAGGGCCCUGUUUGGGAACAAAGUUUUUGAAAACCACAGUUUUUGAAAUACUACAUUAUACUUUAGUCAUGACAAUACCGCAGUUUACAAUACCACAAUUUUAAUAACUGAAGUCCAGACCUAAGUUUAGAAUAUCUUAAAACAACUAUAGUAUUUGCAAUACUUCAGUUUUGAAAACAGAGAUUUUAGGCACCUUACCAAACAUCAUUUUGUAUAUAAUACUGCAGUAUUCUUCUAAAACUGUGAAAAAACUUCACUCUCAAAUACCCCUUAGGGCCCUGUUCGUUUUUAUCAAACCCAUAGGGAUUGAGAGGGAUUGAAUCCCCUACAAGUCAAAAUCUACCUCAAUCCACUAAUCCCCUCAAUCCCCAUGGAUUAGGGAUGAAACGAACAAAGCCUAGGUUGUUAUGGUGGCAGCAUUCUUCUCCUCUCUGCUACAUGUCUACACCCACGCACAUCAGCACAUGCCAUCGAUCGCUUCAUGACACCGGCUCGUGUUUCGCUGUUUCUCGUGUCGAGCGGCGGCGGCCAAAAGAGCCAUGUGUUGGUGGAGUGGCUCUCCGACAGCGGCCCGACGUAGACCAUCUCCCUCCAGCGGACCGGGAAGAGCAGCAGAGCGUAGCCAGGAGAGCGUGCAAGGGCGACGAGAGGAACAAGAAAACGAAUCGUUAUUUUAAGUUGUGUAAUCAGCGAUAUGUUGGAUAAUUUUAUAUCAACUUCACGUGUAAAUUGGUGUUAGAGGAAAUUCCACGUUUUUUUUAGAAGCAUAGCUGAUUGAAGUUAAGAGUGUUUGGCAACUGGUUUAUAGAGCUGAGCAGUUUCAAACACCCCUUUAGUUUCAGUGGUUAUUACAUUGAUUGGUUGAUAAGCACAUCUACUUCGAUGGUUAUAGUAUACACCUUUUCCUUCAGUUCAGAGACGUCGGAUUAAAAACCGGACAGAUGCGAUAUAUAGCACCUAAUUAAUUACUUGUAAUACAUAUACAAGGAAAUUUGCGCUUUACUUUUCAAUUUCAGUGUGAAAGUGAAAGAUACAACUAUAGAUCAAACUGAACAUGCCACAUGAAGAGCGAAACACACACAAAGACUAUUACAAAUCAAGUAUCUGCCAGCUUAGAUUGACAUACUCACUGCAAAAGUAAACUCAUGGGCAUUUUACCCAGGCACCCUCUUUCUGCUAUGGCCCCACCUACAAUCCUAUAGAAACAUCUCAUCCCUCAAAAAUAAGUACUAAAAAUAAAGCCAGGUCGACCGGUGCUCAACAAGCAUCGGAUGCCUUUGUGUGUCUCGUUUAGACCUUUUGAUCGAGCUCGGACUGCGAUGACAGCGCCCCAUGCUUCUGACUCUUCUCGCUCGGUGUGGGGUAGACCUGCCGCUCUUUGCCUCCAGAUUUCGACGACGCGUUCCCGUACCAGAUCAUGCCGAUCACAGCCAGAAGCAUGCCAAGGGCGACAUGGAAGUUGAGCCCCUCUUUCCCAAAGAAAAGGAACCCCAAGGUCAACACCAGAACUGUCUUCAUGUGGCCUAGGACUUGGAACGAGACGGCUGUGAAUCUUCCGAUGCAUAUGAAUUGGCUUAGAUUCGUCCCAACGGCAAUUAUGCACGACAACACGAUAAAGAACUGAAAAGGAAAACAUGUGAUAAGAAAAUAGUAAGUCAUGCCCAGGUUCGUCAAGUUUGCGCCGAAGAAUGAAAAUUUAUAACAUCAAGCAGAUCAAAUAUCAAGAUCUAAACCAUAUACAGUAGGCACAGGAUCAUCUCAGUGGACUGUGUUAAUAGUUUAUAAAUACUGGAGAAGUUAAAACUAUAAUAUUUCAUAUCCUACAAGGUCAAUAUGAGACAAUAUGUUGUUGCUUAUGUCCAAACUAUACCGGUGGCAUAGCCAGGAUUUCACUAUUCCCAGGGCUAACUUUUAAACACAAAAUAUAUGUAAUUGCCCGACACCAACAUAAAUACCGAUGUAAUCAUGACGAAAUAUCCAAAUUACCAUGUUUUAACUGAAACUAGGCUACAAGACAAUUGAAGUCCUGCAGCUCCAUAAUAUGUGCAGCACUGAGACAUUUGAAGUUCUAUGAGUCCGAAAUAUGAAAAGGGUAUUUUGGGCAAAAUAAAGAGACAAAAUUCAUAAAGAUUUAAAAAUAACAGGUGCCAAGGCUAAAAGGAACAAUUGGCCAGCAAACUGCUGCCAUUUGCUGCCUUGCUCACCCGGGCCAUGCCAUCAGCGAACUGAGCCUAAGCGGUGGCUUUGUUAGGUUGUUGGCUAUUGGGCUGGACCAACGAGCCUUAGAAAAGCUUUGCAGCUGGCUCAUGAAAGGAUGAGGGAGGCCGUACAUCGCAUCAGGCGCAAGGUCUCAUCCAUGGUUCGGAUGCUGCUGAACGGCUAAGGAGUAAGGACAGAGCUGUUGGAGUACGUAGAUGUAACUGGGAAACGGAAACCGCCAUAGGUCUAUCCAGGGAAGCUGUUCCUUGCCCCUGUAGUGGCUAGUGGCUACACCACUGAACUAAACUACUAUCAGCAAUUCAGCAUCAAACACCCUGAAUAUAAUUCAGAUAAAACAAGGUUCCAGGUCAUCUUCAAUAUUUGCAGCAACCCGUAUGUCAGAUAUCACUACUUAGGGUGUUUGACUCCCACCGCCGUCACACAACACAACAGCUGUGGUUGUGCCACGAGUGCGGUGGACAAAUUGUCUGCCACACAUCUGGUGAGCUGCGGCAUAAAAAAUGAACUAGCUGCUGUGACCGCCGCCAAACCUUCGGCGAACUUCAGCGUGAGCGUUUAGACGACACUGCGUGCCACACUUGUGGCGCUGUGAGCUGUGUAACGCUGUGGACACGAACCAGACAGGCCCUUAAUCUUCACACUAAACCCAGAGCAUAAAUGUAUGCACUGCUAUACAACUAAAGAAAAAAAAUAUGCUUCCUCCCUCCAAUCAUAAAAGGGUGAUGUUUCUUGGGAUACAUUCAGUCAAAAUUAAUUUAUAACUGACACAUGGAAUGAUAACAUUAUGAGCGAAGUGACGCAAGUUAAACUCAAGCAUGCGCAUCUUGACUAUGUUAAUGACCAAAAUGUCAAAAAAAAAUCUUACAAGAUGAUAUACAGUGCUAAACUAACUUGAGUGAAACAGAUGGGUUCCUCUUCCUUGUGAGGAUUUUGCAAAAGACAUAAACAUAAAUGAUUGAGAACAAGUAUCACAUACCGUAACUAUUGAUGUGUAGUUAAAAGCAUCAACUCUUUUGUUAGUCAGCCAGAAGUCCACAAAAGGCCCCACUAUUAACAAUGAUGCUGCCUGCGCUGGAGCAGUAUGGCCUAAGAGAUUGAAUGAGCCAAGCGAGUACUUCCAUUGAAGAUGGUGAACAUA